This 121-nucleotide ribosomal RNA is filed under the name Rosa chinensis. The record is from RNAcentral. Lineage: Eukaryota; Viridiplantae; Streptophyta; Magnoliopsida; Rosales; Rosaceae.
GGGUUCGAUCAUACCAGCAAUAAUGCACCGGAUCCCAUCAGAACUCCGAAGUUAAGCUUGCUUGGGCGAGAGCAGUACUAGGAUGGGUGACCUCCUGGGAAGUCCUCGUGUUGCACCCCUC